AUCGGAAUUGGAACAAUAAAAGGGAAGGAACCAUGGUCCACGAGCAUACAUUUUUCUAGUAACGGCAGAAUGUGAUGCGUAGAACACCCCUAGUCAACCCCUUCCCCCAAUCAUUCAUGUGGUAUGGUGGUCCGACGGCGAUGAGAUGCAGUUAGCAGUUCAGCUUUAUGAAUUUUAAAAAUAAAAAAGUUCAAAGUUCGCUACACACGCCCAUCAAAUAUAACCAACUGACAACGAAAAAACAACUAACGAACCCAAAAAUCACGCGGAUUGGAUGGAUCUACUGAAAAGGACGUUUUGAUGGUUGAUUUAAAUUUAUGUGAUUUAUCUUCGAUUUCAAUCACAACCAGUAGUCAGUACCUACAAUGUUAAUCUGGAAAAUGGAUUUAAGACCAUCAAAUUAAAUUAAUAAAUUAUCAGACAUCAUUUAUACAAGCAGUGACUAUUCCGAGAUUUAUGAAGCACAAAACUACAUUUAAUUGGAGACAAAAUAUUAAAAUAAGAGCAAAUAACUUUUUAAAAUAUGGUCUGAAGGAUGAAACGGAUUGUUCACUUUUGAAAGGAGUCAAUAAGAUAAGUCAUUUAGUAUGCCAUAUGGAAAAUAAAUAUUUAAAGAAAGUAGAAUAAUACAUCAUCCUCACUAAUAAUGAUGCAUUUCAUAAGAUUCAAGUAUACUAGAAGUCUGUAACAUUAAAUGGAAAUCUGCUCAAUCCAAAUGCUCAAGCGAAGUUCAUUAGAGAAUCAAGUAGAAUCUGAAAUGUAUAAAACCUAAGUAGCACAAUUAAAAAAAAAUAAAAAAUUAACCAUUUAGAAUACACAUAAUACAAUACAAUUUAUAAUAUAUAUAUAUAUAUAUUUUUUUUUGUAAGUUUAAGUAUGCAUUUUUAGCUAUUAGUUAUAACUAAGUAUCAGUAAGAGUGAAUAAACCUUGAAUUCUGUUACAAUCAAUAUUUACUGUACAUCUGAUUAAAACAAUUUAACUGUAAGGAUUAUAGGUAAGCACAGCUACGAAACGUAAUAAAUUUCCUUAUGUAACAUUUAAAAAAGCACAACUUCAAUAAAAUAUUAAUAACAUCAAAAUAAAACAUACAGUAUCAGCAAA
Molecule: long non-coding RNA, 1102 nt
Filed under: Acyrthosiphon pisum (pea aphid)
Lineage: Eukaryota; Metazoa; Arthropoda; Insecta; Hemiptera; Aphididae
Description: uncharacterized LOC100302495
Source: RNAcentral